CCCCCAUGCAUCUGAGUAGAUCUUUGGCAGAAUGGAAUGACCCACACAGUUCUGAUGGAAUGGCCCUGAGAGCCUAAAUCUUUUGCAGAAUGAGGCUGAUAUGAAUGAAUAACUGUGAUAUACCAGCACCAUGAAUCCAGGGUCGAUAUCUGCUCUAUGGGCAGAGUCAUGUCACCUACCUUACUGACAAAGAACAUGACCUACUCACAUUGAAGGGUGCAAGGGCAUCAUCCAAAGGAGUGAGCUCUGUCUAUAUGGUUCCUCUGAAGUUCAGUGAACAGUUUGUAGCGUGCUGUCUGGCUUCUAUCCGGGAAAUGUUGGGAUUUGAUAGUUUUGCAAGAUAGAUUUGUCUCAAACAGUACACCCUGGUACACAGAAUCCCCACAGGCAGGAUAUCCCUGUUAGGUGAAAUUUUCGUUGGAAAGGACCUGUUCAUUGCUGCUUUUCCUAACAGCAUGAGGGCCCUGGAACACCUGCUUCUGUAUCGUUCACGUGUGCUUUUCAGUUCCACUCUGGUUGGAUUUAAAUGAAGAUUGAUGGUGUCUCCAUGACCCACA
RNAcentral lists this long non-coding RNA (557 nucleotides) under Mus musculus (house mouse). RNAcentral describes it as "predicted gene 44773". The record is from RNAcentral. Lineage: Eukaryota; Metazoa; Chordata; Mammalia; Rodentia; Muridae.